This 306-nucleotide long non-coding RNA is filed under the name Panax ginseng (ginseng). RNAcentral describes it as "long non-coding RNA (PGIN_LNC003151)". Lineage: Eukaryota; Viridiplantae; Streptophyta; Magnoliopsida; Apiales; Araliaceae. The record is from RNAcentral.
ACAGGGCUAAGCGCCGUAAACUUCGUAGUAAGAUUAAGGUACUUCGGAAACGGGAUCCUCCCAUGACCGAAGAAUUGCUCAAGCAGAUUCAGGAGGACUAUCGGACUUCUGAUGAGCUCGGUGCAGAGAUUAUGAAAGUAUACUACGAAGGAUACGAAGACUGCCGAGGUCAAUGCAAGGAAAAGCUGGUGGCAGCCCAAGUAGAUCCUGCUUUGCUCGAUUUUGAAAAUGAUGUAUAAAUAGGAUCUUACUGCUUCUGAUCUUUAGAAUUUUGUGCAAAAAUUUUGUAAAGAAAUUUAAGUGGAC